GGAAGUAUUGAGCAACUGGCUGGCUCGCCUGACUGUAAAUCAGGUCUUUUUUAAGCGUGUAGGUUCGAGUCCUGCUACUUCCA
Molecule: transfer RNA, 83 nt
Filed under: Nonlabens dokdonensis DSW-6
Lineage: Bacteria; Pseudomonadati; Bacteroidota; Flavobacteriia; Flavobacteriales; Flavobacteriaceae
Description: tRNA-Tyr (GTA) (tRNA-Tyr-GTA-2-1)
Rfam family: tRNA
About the family: Transfer RNA (tRNA) molecules are approximately 80 nucleotides in length. Their secondary structure includes four short double-helical elements and three loops (D, anti-codon, and T loops).
Source: RNAcentral